UAUUUUUCUUUUUUUCAUUUUUUCUUGCAAACUUCCAACACUCAUAACUCCCUCAUUUUUCCAUGAAAAUCAAAGUUGUAAAAACCAAACUUGCUCAGCUUUUCACAAGGAACACAAUGGGAUAAUUUUCACAAGCUAAAACUCAAAUAAUAAUUCACACAAAUAUCAAAACCAGUCACAAACCAUAACUAUUCAACUAUCAACAACUUCCAACACAAGCAUGAUAAAUUGCAAACAAUU
This 240-nucleotide long non-coding RNA is filed under the name Lathyrus oleraceus (garden pea). Its description in RNAcentral is "Pisum sativum (pea) long non-coding RNA (PSAT_LNC024598)". The record is from RNAcentral. Lineage: Eukaryota; Viridiplantae; Streptophyta; Magnoliopsida; Fabales; Fabaceae.